This 452-nucleotide ribosomal RNA is filed under the name uncultured bacterium. RNAcentral describes it as "bacterial SSU rRNA". It matches the Rfam family "Bacterial small subunit ribosomal RNA", at positions 29 to 526 of the family's 1533-position model. The record is from RNAcentral.
AGCGAACGCUGGCGGCAGGCUUAACACAUGCAAGUCGAACGCUGUAGCAAUACAGAGUGGCGGACGGGUGAGUAACACGUGGGAACGUGCCCUUCGAUUCGGAAUAACUCUGGGAAACUAGAGCUAAUACCGGAUACGCCCUUCGGGGGAAAGAUUUAUCGUCGAAGGAUCGGCCCGCGUCUGAUUAGCUAGUUGGUGGGGUAAUGGCCUACCAAGGCGACGAUCAGUAGCUGGUCUGAGAGGAUGAUCAGCCACACUGGGACUGAGACACGGCCCAGACUCCUACGGGAGGCAGCAGUGGGGAAUAUUGGACAAUGGGCGCAAGCCUGAUCCAGCCAUGCCGCGUGGGUGAUGAAGGCCCUAGGGUUGUAAAGCCCUUUCGGCGGGGAAGAUAAUGACGGUACCCGCAGAAGAAGCCCCGGCUAACUUCGUGCCAGCAGCCGCCGUAACAC